This is a long non-coding RNA of Ceratitis capitata (Mediterranean fruit fly), 465 nucleotides long. RefSeq lists it as uncharacterized. The transcript is spliced from 3 exons. The record is from RefSeq and is a predicted model, not a curated record. Lineage: Eukaryota; Metazoa; Arthropoda; Insecta; Diptera; Tephritidae.
AGAAAAUGCUAUGCAAAACCUUUCAGGUCUUCGUGAGUAAAUGCGGGACUUCACACUAAGCUUUUAUAUAAAAUAUUAGCUACUAGAUUUUUAAUGGCUUCACACUGAGCUCACGAAAAUAGCGGCAAUAAAAAGGAUAUAACUAUAAAUAUGGACUAUUAAUAUUUGCUUAAACGAAUGGCGGCUGCGGCGUAUGCGGGGCACGUAGCCCCACACUGGUAAACGGCAGCUAACAAAUAUCAUUACAAUGUCAAGAAAUGGCACGUUAAACAACAACAACAAAAACAACAACGCCUUUACAUCAUCAUAAUGCCAUUUAUUAGAAAACAAAAGCAAAAACAAAGGUCAAGCAUUGACCUUCUACCGUCAGAUAAUAGAAUACAUAAAAAUAAGCAGAAAUAAUCAGAAAUAAGCAUAAAUAGACAACAAUAGAAAUGUGAAAUUGAAAAGGCAAAUUGAAGUGAA